RNAcentral lists this ribosomal RNA (253 nucleotides) under uncultured bacterium. RNAcentral describes it as "partial 16S ribosomal RNA". It matches the Rfam family "Bacterial small subunit ribosomal RNA", at positions 524 to 776 of the family's 1533-position model. The record is from RNAcentral.
UACGUAGGGUGCAAGCGUUGUCCGGAAUUAUUGGGCGUAAAGAGCUCGUAGGCGGCCUGCUAAGUCGGACGUGAAAUCCCUCGGCUCAACCGGGGAACUGCGUCCGAUACUGGUGGGCUCGAAUCCGGGAGAGGGAUGUGGAAUUCCAGGUGUAGCGGUGAAAUGCGUAGAUAUCUGGAGGAACACCGGCGGCGAAGGCGGCAUCCUGGACCGGCAUUGACGCUGAGGCGCGAAAGCCAGGGGAGCAAACGGG